This is an RNA transcript of Helianthus annuus (common sunflower), 1293 nucleotides long. RefSeq lists it as uncharacterized. The transcript is spliced from 6 exons. Lineage: Eukaryota; Viridiplantae; Streptophyta; Magnoliopsida; Asterales; Asteraceae. The record is from RefSeq and is a predicted model, not a curated record.
UUUCCUUUUGAUAAGAUGCGGGAUCCGAACCCGUAUUCAUUCACUCGCCUCUCUUCUCCAUCAAACCCUAGCUCCUUUCUACCAUGAAACCAAAACCCACAGACCAAUAGCUUGCAUCAGUCGAUCGUGUUCUUCAUCUGUUCUAUUCUUCAUAUUUGAUCGAUCUUCAAAUAGGUUUUGCCUAAAGCUAUGUUGAGAAGAACAUGAGUGGUCCUUUUGUGAAGAAGAAGUUGAUACUCAGGUUUGAGGGUAGGCGUUCAUGGGCUCUUUCAUUCGAGAAGUUUUCGCCAUCAGAAAUUAUUAGGGAUCACCUUGGACUAAGUUGUUGCAAUGUUGAUUGCAAAUUUUUGGUAGAUGAAGAAUAUGCACAGAAUAUCAAGAUCGAAAGGUCUGGGAAUAAGUUUUUCUUCAGUCGGGACUGGGUUAAGGUUGUUCAACAAAUCAAGAUGAAGUUUGCUACUUUUGUUCUUUUUCAGUACAUGGGUCAAAGAAAGUAUAAGUUGAUUGUUUUCAUGAAUGAUAGCACUCAGCUCAUUGUUUCACAUCCACAAGCAAAUCCAAAAGCUGCUCAUGAUAUGAAUACCCUAUGCAGGUUUAUCAUCAACUUAUUCCACAAAAUCAUCAAGUCAUUUCUACUUUUACCGUCAUUGCAAGAAACAGAUUUCGUUUUACCAACCAAAAUGGCAAGAGUUGCAAGAGUAACAGUUUGACGAAGGAUUAAAAUAGGAUAUUUGUCUGGAGAAGUUGCUAGGGUGGAUUUGAGGAAGGAGAAGGAUGGUAGAAGAGGUCAUCGUUAUGCAAUCCAAGGUUGGAGCCAUUUCAUUAAGAAAAAUGUAAUCGAAGACGGUGACAGAUGCAACAUUUUUUUCCUCAUACUACAGGUUUCUUUCAAACAAACGAGACUUGUUCUUUGAUCUUGAAGAUCACUACACCGCCGACAAUUCGACGCCUUUCGCCAGCCACUCAACACCUUUCAAAAGAUCCCCCGCCACCGGAAUUGCCGGAAUCCAGUUCUGAACCGUAGGGGCAGAAUGCUCCGUCCGCCGCCCGCCAUCGUCGGCUUUAAAACAGGUCCUUGCCGGAAUCGGGCGUGAUCGGUAGAAGUCUAGUCAAGGAGAGAUAGUUUUUUUUAAACUUUGUGGUGGAAGAACCCUCACUGGUGGUGGCGGAAUACGAUGGUUGAUGGUGGCACCGGCUUGCCGACGAAAUGUAACGUAGGGGACUAAUAAAUGAUGAAUAAGGUGGGAAAUUGAUGUAAAAAAUAUAAAAUAAAAAGAGGGAGAACUUAUAGUA